UACGAAGGGGGCUAGCGUUGUUCGGAAUUACUGGGCGUAAAGCGUGCGCAGGCGGCUUCUCAAGUCAGGGGUGAAAGCCCAGAGCUCAACUCUGGAAUUGCCUUUGAGACUGAGAGGCUUGAGUACGAGAGAGGUGAGUGGAAUUCCCAGUGUAGAGGUGAAAUUCGUAGAUAUCGGGAGGAACACCGGUGGCGAAGGCGGCGAUCUGGGUCGAGUACUGACGCUGAGGUGCGAAAGCGUGGGGAGCAAACAGGG
This 255-nucleotide ribosomal RNA is filed under the name uncultured bacterium. Its description in RNAcentral is "partial 16S ribosomal RNA". It matches the Rfam family "Bacterial small subunit ribosomal RNA", at positions 524 to 777 of the family's 1533-position model. The record is from RNAcentral.